GACGAACGCUGGCGGCGUGCUUAACACAUGCAAGUCGAACGGUAAGGCCCUUCGGGGUACAUGAGUGGCGAACGGGUGAGUAACACGUGGGUGAUCUGCCCUGCACUUCGGGGUAAGCCUGGGAAACUGGGUCUAAUACCGGAUAGGACCACUGCCUGCAUGGGUGGUGGUGGAAAGCUUUUGCGGUGUGGGAUGGGCCCGCGGCCUAUCAGCUUGUUGGUGGGGUGAAGGCCUACCAAGGCGACGACGGGUAGCCGGCCUGAGAGGGUGACCGGCCACACUGGGACUGAGAUACGGCCCAGACUCCUACGGGAGGCAGCAGUGGGGAAUAUUGCACAAUGGGCGCAAGCCUGAUGCAGCGACGCCGCGUGAGGGAUGACGGCCUUCGGGUUGUAAACCUCUUUCAGCACCGACGAAGCGCAAGUGACGGUAGGUGCAGAAGAAGGACCGGCCAACUACGUGCCAGCAGCCGCCGUAA
RNAcentral lists this ribosomal RNA (478 nucleotides) under uncultured bacterium. Its description in RNAcentral is "partial 16S ribosomal RNA". It matches the Rfam family "Bacterial small subunit ribosomal RNA", at positions 28 to 523 of the family's 1533-position model. The record is from RNAcentral.